GCUGGUGCAGUGAUAUACACCUGUAGUCCUAGUUAUUCAGGAGGCUGAGGCAGGAGGAUCACCUGAGCUCAGGAGUUCUGAGCUGUAGUAUGCUAUGCCAAUCUUGUGUCCACACUAAGUUCGGCAUCAAUAUGGUGACCUCCCAGGAGCAGGGGACCACCCGAUUGUCUAAGGAGGGGUGAACCGGCCCAGGUCAAAAACAGAGCAGAUCAAAACUCUGUUCUGGGAGUAGUGGGAUCACAUCUGUGAACAGCCAGUGCAUUCCAGCCUGGGCAACACAGUGACACUCGGUCUCU
Molecule: signal recognition particle RNA, 296 nt
Filed under: Carlito syrichta (Philippine tarsier)
Lineage: Eukaryota; Metazoa; Chordata; Mammalia; Primates; Tarsiidae
Description: Metazoan signal recognition particle RNA (ENSTSYG00000033013.1)
Rfam family: Metazoan signal recognition particle RNA
About the family: The signal recognition particle (SRP) is a universally conserved ribonucleoprotein. It is involved in the co-translational targeting of proteins to membranes.
Source: RNAcentral